This 305-nucleotide unclassified non-coding RNA is filed under the name plant metagenome. RNAcentral's name for it is "partial contains 5.8S ribosomal RNA, internal transcribed spacer 2, and large subunit ribosomal RNA". The stretch from base 1 to 105 matches the Rfam family "5.8S ribosomal RNA", at positions 50 to 154 of the family's 154-position model. The record is from RNAcentral.
GAAAUGCGAUAAGUAAUGUGAAUUGCAGAAUUCAGUGAAUCAUCGAAUCUUUGAACGCACAUUGCGCCCGCCAGUACUCUGGCGGGCAUGCCUGUUCGAGCGUCAUUUCAACCAUCAAGCCCCCGGCUGGUGUUGGGGACCUGCGGCUGCCCGCAGGCCCUGAAAAACAGUGGCGGGCUCGCUGUCACACCGAGCGUAGUAGCAUACAUUCUCGCUCAGGGCGUGCUGCGGGUUCCGGCCGUUAAACGACCUUCAUAACCCAAGGUUGACCUCGGAUCAGGUAGGAAGACCCGCUGAACUUAAGC